Molecule: transfer RNA, 69 nt
Filed under: Alepocephalus longiceps
Lineage: Eukaryota; Metazoa; Chordata; Actinopteri; Alepocephaliformes; Alepocephalidae
Description: tRNA-Glu
Rfam family: tRNA
About the family: Transfer RNA (tRNA) molecules are approximately 80 nucleotides in length. Their secondary structure includes four short double-helical elements and three loops (D, anti-codon, and T loops).
Source: RNAcentral
GUUCCCGUAGUUGAAUUACAACGGUGGUUUUUCAAGUCAUUAUUUUCGGUUAGAGUCCGGGCGGGAAUU